RNAcentral lists this transfer RNA (72 nucleotides) under Ictidomys tridecemlineatus (thirteen-lined ground squirrel). RNAcentral describes it as "Spermophilus tridecemlineatus (thirteen-lined ground squirrel) tRNA". It matches the Rfam family "tRNA". From Rfam's summary of the family: Transfer RNA (tRNA) molecules are approximately 80 nucleotides in length. Their secondary structure includes four short double-helical elements and three loops (D, anti-codon, and T loops). Lineage: Eukaryota; Metazoa; Chordata; Mammalia; Rodentia; Sciuridae. The record is from Rfam by way of RNAcentral.
UGAGCUGUAGCUCAGUGGUAGAGCACUUGCCUAGCAUGCAUGAGGCACUGGGUUUGACCCUCAGCACCACAU